RNAcentral lists this ribosomal RNA (456 nucleotides) under uncultured bacterium. Its description in RNAcentral is "partial 16S ribosomal RNA". It matches the Rfam family "Bacterial small subunit ribosomal RNA", at positions 338 to 794 of the family's 1533-position model. The record is from RNAcentral.
CCUACGGGAGGCAGCAGUGGGGAAUCUUGCGCAAUGGGCGAAAGCCUGACGCAGCGACGCCGCGUGGAGGAAGAAGGCCCUCGGGUUGUAAACUCCUUUCGUGAGGGAAAAGCCCUGAGUUUAUCGAAGGGUGAUGGUACCUCAGGAAGAAGCCACGGCUAACUCUGUGCCAGCAGCCGCGGUAAGACAGAGGUGGCAAGCGUUGUUCGGAUUUACUGGGCUUAAAGGGCGUGUAGGCGUUCUGAUAAGUUAGAUGUGAAAUCCCCGAGCUUAACUCGGGAAUUGCAUCUAAAACUGUCAGGAUUGAGUCAUACAUGGGAGGGCGGAAUUCCUGGUGUAGCAGUGAAAUGCGUAGAUAUCAGGAGGAACACCGGUGGCGAGGGCGGCUUCCUGGACCGGUUCUGACACUCAUGCGCGAAAGCGUGGGGAGCAAACAGGAUUAGAUCCCCCUGUAGU